RNAcentral lists this ribosomal RNA (410 nucleotides) under actinobacterium SCGC AAA028-I02. Its description in RNAcentral is "bacterial SSU rRNA". It matches the Rfam family "Bacterial small subunit ribosomal RNA", at positions 356 to 777 of the family's 1533-position model. The record is from RNAcentral. Lineage: Bacteria; Bacillati; Actinomycetota; Actinomycetes.
GGGGAAUAUUGCACAAUGGGCGAAAGCCUGAUGCAGCAACGCCGCGUGAGGGAUGAAGGCCUUCGGGUUGUAAACCUCUUUUAUCAGGGAAGAAGCGAAAGUGACGGUACCUGAAGAAAAAGCACCGGCUAACUACGUGGCCAGCAGCCGCGGUAAUACGUAGGGUGCAAGCGUUGUCCGGAAUUAUUGGGCGUAAAGAGCUCGUAGGCGGUUUGUCGCGUCUGCUGUGAAAAUCCAAGGCUCAACCUUGGACCUGCAGUGGGUACGGGCAGACUAGAGUGCGGUAGGGGAGAUGGGAAUUCCUGGUGUAGCGGUGGAAUGCGCAGAUAUCAGGAGGAACACCAAUGGCGAAGGCACAUCUCUGGGCCGUAACUGACGCUGAGGAGCGAAAGCGUGGGGAGCGAACAGGA